Long non-coding RNA from Salvia miltiorrhiza (redroot sage), 1193 nucleotides. RefSeq lists it as uncharacterized. The record is from RefSeq and is a predicted model, not a curated record. Lineage: Eukaryota; Viridiplantae; Streptophyta; Magnoliopsida; Lamiales; Lamiaceae. The transcript is spliced from 5 exons.
AUAUAUUUUUAUUAGGUAAAAUUCAAAACCUAACUCAAAAUCUAAUUUUCAAGCUUCUGCUCCAAUACUCCUAACACACCCGCCGCCUCCCCCCGGUGACGCCGCGCCGGACGACGCUGCACGAGCAACCGGACGCCGGUGCCAGUGAGUCAGUGACCGCCCCUGCCCCCACCCACCCUGCAUCGCGUCGCCUCUGACGCCGCUCUUCUCGCAGCAGCAGAUCGAGCGGCGGAGCACCCUUCUCCUCUCCACCGAGCACGAGCAGACCACCCCUCUCCUCCGCCGACGCCGCUCUUCUCGCAGCAGCAGCAGCAGAUCGGGCUUUUUGCUUCUCCGUCUGCCACCUACCGCACCCGUCUCUCUCUCUCCGUCCGUUAGGCCUAGCAGCUGUCGCCGGUCGAGCUCUCAAUCGCAGACCCUAGGAGCCGCCGCUGUCGCCGCCGCCUUCUACAAUAGCCACCACCAAGGAACUCGCCACAAAGCUAAGAUCAAUCGUGUUACUAAAGCGGCAGCUUGAUGAAGUACCAGCACAGGCUGAACUAAUACAGUACGAACUCCGACUUUCUGAACUUAACACUCAAAUUCAGAUUUGUUUGUUUGUAGAAAAAGCUCCGACAAACACGGAAGCACUAUGAUACAUAUAAUGCUUUGUUGGAGAUUAAAGAUUUGAUGCUCAAAGAAACAUCCUUGUUGAAUUCAAUUAAUGUGCAGUUCCAAAAUGCUAUUACUAGCGCUGAUGGGAGGGUAAAACUCACAAACUCCUUGGAGGGAAUUUUGAAUGGGACUCAACAGGGUAUCCAUUUCGUACGUAUAUUUCUACCCAAACUGAAAUUAAUCUAACCAUAUAACUUUCAAUUAUCAUCUCCAAGAAGCUCUCUUGUGUUUCUGUUCCAUGAACUAUUAUUUUGGGAAAGUAUAUUCUAGAAAAAUACAGAUAAGUUUGGAUAAGUGAGAGGUGCAAAGUUUGACCAGUUAAGUUGAUAGCUUGAUUUGACAUUUUAUUUUGAGGAGACGUGUUUGGUUUACUUGCAAAGAAAUGUCAGAUUAAGAGAUUCUUCUGUUAAUGGGGUUUAGUUGUUGAAAAUGGGAUGCAAUCUUGAGAAUAAUUUUAUCCCAAACUGGAAUAUGUAAUUUUUGUGCCAUUAAGAAAAUUAUCUUAGAACAAGAACCCGAAAGAGAGGGAAGCUGAACUG